ACACCAAAUAUGCCCUUUCCAGAGCUACCCAGACCAUAUGGUGCACCCACAGAUCCAGCUGCAGCUGGUCCUUUAGGUCCAUGGGGAUCCAUGUCUUCUGGACCUUGGGCGCCAGGAAUGGGAGGGCAGUAUCCUACCCCUAAUAUGCCAUAUCCAUCUCCAGGCCCAUAUCCCGCUCCUCCUCCUCCCCAAGCCCCUGGGGCAGCACCACCUGUUCCAUGGGGCACCGUUCCACCAGGAGCCUGGGGACCACCAGCACCAUAUCCUGCCCCUACAGGAUCGUAUCCCACACCAGGACUCUAUCCUACUCCCAGUAAUCCUUUCCAAGUGCCUUCAGGACCUUCUGGUGCUCCACCAAUGCCUGGUGGCCCCCAUACAACCCAGUGUGGGGUUAACAUCUUAGUUGAGGAGCCUGCCUUGGUCAUAUAACCAAAUGGAAAAGUACCCCACUUCCCCUGUGAGUCUUACCAUUAAGUUAACAAUGGACGAAGAGAUGACGCUUUGCUUUUUGAAGUAC
This 517-nucleotide small RNA is filed under the name Pan troglodytes (chimpanzee). Its description in RNAcentral is "processed transcript". The record is from RNAcentral. Lineage: Eukaryota; Metazoa; Chordata; Mammalia; Primates; Hominidae.